AUUCAACUAGCAUAAAUGUCACUGCUUCACCAUUCCAGCUCAGCAACCACAUCUGGUUAUUUGCACAUGUUGGUCACUUACAGGUCUCUGCCUUAGUUCCUACUGACUAUAGCUAUUUGCCUGAAAGCAGUUUUAUUGGAGCAGCUAUUGGCUUUUUCAUUACAGGAGGAAAAAAAGUCUUGCUCUGACGCCCAGGCUAGAGUGCAGUGGCGUGAUCUCGGCUCACUGCAACCUCUGCCUCCCAGGCUCAAGUGAUUGGCCUGCCUCAGCCUCCUGAGUAGCUGGAAUUACAGAUCCUUUGAUGCUAGAAGGAAAGAAGGAAUUGUUGGCAUUUUCUACUUCCAUGAUGGUAUGCAGGUGUUUUACUAUUAUUUUUCACUUUCUGUUUUAGGUCCUGAAUCUGUGCCUCCUUCCCUUCUUGAAGUAGUGAUGAAACCCAUAGCAACUGUUGGAGAAAGCUACCAAUAUCCUCCUGUGAACUGGGCUGCACUUCUCUCUCCACUUAUGAGGCUAAAUUUUGGUGAAGAGAUCCAGCAACUGUGCCUUGAAAUUAUGGUGACCCAGGCACAGUCAUCCCAGAAUGCAGCUGCACUAUUGGGCUUGUGGGUGACACCACCACUGAUCCACAGUCUGAGUCUGAAUACCAAGAGAUAUCUCCUGAUAUCUGCACCU
Molecule: small RNA, 672 nt
Filed under: Pan troglodytes (chimpanzee)
Lineage: Eukaryota; Metazoa; Chordata; Mammalia; Primates; Hominidae
Description: processed transcript
Source: RNAcentral